AAGUGAGAAGCAAAACUUGCAGUCAGUUUCGACCUGGCCUUAGAUAACAAAAUAUCCUCACUCA
This 64-nucleotide transfer RNA is filed under the name Psammotermes voeltzkowi. Its description in RNAcentral is "tRNA-Arg". Lineage: Eukaryota; Metazoa; Arthropoda; Insecta; Blattodea; Rhinotermitidae. The record is from RNAcentral.